UGCUGCUGAUCCUGAUAACUUGAGCACCUCAAGAGGGAACUUCAUGAUUUGCUUAGCAAAUCCUCACUUAAUCGUAUCUCAUCGCUGAUCCUGGGUAACAAGAUUGAUAAACCGGGAGCUCUGAGUAAACAAGCGUUGACUGAUGAAAUGGGACUCAAGUCAAUACUGAUAGAGUAAGUAUGUUGCUUCAUGAUCUCAUGCAAGAACCCAACUGACAUAGACUCAGUAAUUGAUGGCUUGUAAAGCAUUCCAAAUAAAAAAGCUGAGUGUCUUGUUCUCUUUGGUUUAGAUUUCUGUGCUAUAAUAUUGCAAAUUUUUCAUGUAUGGGUGGUUGUUGGUGGGAUUCACUGGUCUAACUUGAUUGCUGAUUGGUUUAUGUGUGUAAUUUUCCCUAUAUCAUUUCCGAUUCCAGACUCUGGGGUUGUUAUUUUGAUCUUAAUCUCCCUUCUUCCCCAGAUGCCUGCCUAAAUUCAUAAUUUCAUAGUGUUGGAAUUCGGAAUUCAUGGAAGUUUGGAAACUAGCAUUUUCCCUUUGCAUAUGAUAAGCAGACGAGGGAUCAAUAAGAGAAAAUUUCCAAUUUUGGUUUCGACUUAGAUAUUGAUUAUAUGAACUUUCUGCCAACACACAUACGAUGUGCCAGAAUUUUACUCUAUCUUAUAGGUUAUAUACAUGCAAAAAGUAGAU
Molecule: long non-coding RNA, 684 nt
Filed under: Rosa chinensis
Lineage: Eukaryota; Viridiplantae; Streptophyta; Magnoliopsida; Rosales; Rosaceae
Description: sRNA RchiOBHm_Chr2g0108151
Source: RNAcentral